This 439-nucleotide ribosomal RNA is filed under the name Phatnoma natensis. RNAcentral's name for it is "partial 16S ribosomal RNA". The record is from RNAcentral. Lineage: Eukaryota; Metazoa; Arthropoda; Insecta; Hemiptera; Tingidae.
UUUUUUAGGUUUGGAAUAAAUUUAUUUAAAGUAUGACCUGCUCAAUGAUUUUUAAAUAGCCGCGAUAUUUUAAUCGUGCAAAGGUAGCAUAAUAAUUUGUCUUUUUAAUGAGGACUAGAAUGAAUGGUCGGAUGAGAUAUAUACUUUCUUUUAUAUAAAUUUUUAAUUUAAAUAUUUAGUAAAAAUGCUAAGAUUGUUUAAUGGGACGAUAAGACCCUAUAGAGUUUUACUUUUUAAUAAAAAUAUAAUUUUAGUUUUAAUAUUUAUAUUUUUAUUAAAAAGUUAGGUUGGGGUGACUUCUAAAUAUAGUAAACUUUAGUAAUAUACUAUCAUUAUUUAAUGAUUUUAUGAUCCUAAAUUUUGGAUUUUUAGAAUAAAUUACCUUAGGGAUAACAGCGUAAUUUAAUUGGAAAGUUCAUAUUGAUAAUUAAGUUUGCGA